GACGAACGCUGGCGGCGUGCUUAACACAUGCAAGUCGAACGGUGAAGCAGAGCUUGCUCUGUGGAUCAGUGGCGAACGGGUGAGUAACACGUGAGUAACCUGCCCUUGACUCUGGGAUAAGCGUUGGAAACGACGUCUAAUACCGGAUACGAGCUGAGACCGCAUGGUCAUCAGUUGGAAAGAUUUUUUGGUCAAGGAUGGACUCGCGGCCUAUCAGCUUGUUGGUGAGGUAAUGGCUCACCAAGGCGACGACGGGUAGCCGGCCUGAGAGGGUGACCGGCCACACUGGGACUGAGACACGGCCCAGACUCCUACGGGAGGCAGCAGUGGGGAAUAUUGCACAAUGGGCGCAAGCCUGAUGCAGCAACGCCGCGUGAGGGAUGACGGCCUUCGGAUUGUAAACCUCUUUUAGUAGGGAAGAAGCGAAAGUGACGGUACCUGCAGAAAAAGCACCGGCUAACUACGUG
RNAcentral lists this ribosomal RNA (467 nucleotides) under uncultured bacterium. RNAcentral describes it as "partial 16S ribosomal RNA". It matches the Rfam family "Bacterial small subunit ribosomal RNA", at positions 28 to 507 of the family's 1533-position model. The record is from RNAcentral.